This 516-nucleotide ribosomal RNA is filed under the name Alternaria sp. Ohu 7A. RNAcentral describes it as "eukaryotic LSU rRNA". The stretch from base 195 to 348 matches the Rfam family "5.8S ribosomal RNA". The record is from RNAcentral. Lineage: Eukaryota; Fungi; Ascomycota; Dothideomycetes; Pleosporales; Pleosporaceae.
CCGUAGGUGAACCUGCGGAGGGAUCAUUACACAAAUAUGAAGGCGGGCUGGAACCUCUCGGGGUUACAGCCUUGCUGAAUUAUUCACCCUUGUCUUUUGCGUACUUCUUGUUUCCUUGGUGGGUUCGCCCACCACUAGGACAAACAUAAACCUUUUGUAAUUGCAAUCAGCGUCAGUAACAAAUUAAUAAUUACAACUUUCAACAACGGAUCUCUUGGUUCUGGCAUCGAUGAAGAACGCAGCGAAAUGCGAUAAGUAGUGUGAAUUGCAGAAUUCAGUGAAUCAUCGAAUCUUUGAACGCACAUUGCGCCCUUUGGUAUUCCAAAGGGCAUGCCUGUUCGAGCGUCAUUUGUACCCUCAAGCUUUGCUUGGUGUUGGGCGUCUUGUCUCUAGCUUUGCUGGAGACUCGCCUUAAAGUAAUUGGCAGCCGGCCUACUGGUUUCGGAGCGCAGCACAAGUCGCACUCUCUAUCAGCAAAGGUCUAGCAUCCAUUAAGCCUUUUUUCAACUUUGACCU